RNAcentral lists this transfer-messenger RNA (339 nucleotides) under uncultured Lachnospira sp. It matches the Rfam family "transfer-messenger RNA". Rfam says of the family: Bacterial tmRNA, also known as 10Sa RNA or SsrA, is named for its dual tRNA and mRNA-like properties. Its role is to liberate the mRNA from a stalled ribosome. The record is from RNAcentral. Lineage: Bacteria; Bacillati; Bacillota; Clostridia; Lachnospirales; Lachnospiraceae.
GGGCUUGUAAAGGUUUCGACUGGGGUUUAGAAGCUGGUGAAGCUAUCCGCAUGCGAUGCGUUAAAUGGCAAACUUAAAUAUAAACGCUAACGAAAAUUUAGCUUACGCUGCCUAAUGACAGCAGUCUGACCUAGAGCACUCACACUUUAGGACCCAGGCUUCGAACAUGUGAGAAACGACUUGACUUAAGCUUUGCGGUCAUGGGCGUAUUAUGAAGCUACUAAAGGCAUCAGGAUGUUAGUUUCCGGCUGCUGGAGGGAAUGUCAAAUAACUGACUAUGAUAGUAGAAGAACAGGGGAAGAGCUUUAGGACGUGGGUUCGACUCCCACCAGGUCCACU